Molecule: small nuclear RNA, 321 nt
Filed under: Sphenodon punctatus (tuatara)
Lineage: Eukaryota; Metazoa; Chordata; Lepidosauria; Sphenodontia; Sphenodontidae
Description: 7SK RNA (ENSSPUG00000017393.1)
Rfam family: 7SK RNA
About the family: 7SK was discovered as an abundant small nuclear RNA in the mid-70s but a possible function has only recently been suggested. Two independent studies have found that 7SK RNA binds the CDK9/cyclin T complex (known as elongation factor P-TEFb). P-TEFb activates transcription by phosphorylating the C-terminal domain of RNA polymerase II.
Source: Rfam by way of RNAcentral
UGUGAGGGCGAUCUGGCUGUGACAUCGGUCACCCUACUGAUCAUCAGGGUUGAUUUGGCUGAUUUAGCUGGGUAGGGGGCUGUCCCCUUCCUCCCUCACUGCUCCAUAUGCGUCCCUCCCGAAGCGAUGUGCUCGGUCAAAGCGGACGCCCAUCCCAGAAUCAGGAGUAUAGUUCUUCAGCCAAGGGUGUGUGAUCGCUGCGCUCCCUAGCCAGCCAGUUUCUCUCGAACUUACUGGAAGGGGUGGCACCGGGCAGGAGAACUGAAGCUGUGGCAGCAGAGAAUAAUUCCAGCAGGUUUUGCCAGGCAGGCAUAUCGGGCU